Molecule: unclassified non-coding RNA, 327 nt
Filed under: uncultured fungus
Lineage: Eukaryota; Fungi
Description: sequence contains 5.8S rRNA gene
Rfam family: 5.8S ribosomal RNA (bases 1-53)
Source: RNAcentral
GAACGCACAUUGCACCCUCUGGUAUUCCGGAGGGUAUGCCUGUUUGAGUGUCAUUAAUGUGUCAACACAGGCAAGUUUGUCAAGACUUGCUCUGCUGUUUGGAUGUUGAAGGCUUGCUGGCAUUGACGUGUUCUGUCAGCUCCUUUUAAAUUCAUUAGCAGGAACCUUGCAGGACUGGCUUCAGUUUGAUAAGAUUGAACUGUUGUUAGAAUGCGCUUUUGCUGUUCCGGCUUCUAAUUGUCUGGUAAAACCGGACUGUCUCGCUCUGAGACAUUUACAUUUGACAACUUGGCCUCAAAUCAGGUAGGACUACCCGCUGAACUUAAG